GACGAACGCUGGCGGCGUGCUUAACACAUGCAAGUCGAACGGAAAGGCCUGCUUUCCCUUGUGGAUUGCGGGUGCUCGAGUGGCGAACGGGUGAGUAACACGUGAGUGAUCUGCCCCCAACUUGGGUAUAAGCCUGGGAAACUGGGUCUAAUUCCCGAUAGGACUGCAGGGUGGUGCCUGUGGUGGAAAACGAUUUUCUAGUGGUUGGGGAUGAGCUCGCGGCCUAUCAGCUUGUUGGUGGGGUAAUGGCCUACCAAGGCGGCGACGGGUAGCCGGCCUGAGAGGGUGGACGGCCACAUUGGGACUGAGAUACGGCCCAGACUCCUACGGGAGGCAGCAGUGGGGAAUAUUGCACAAUGGGCGGAAGCCUGAUGCAGCGACGCCGCGUGGGGGAUGACGGCCUUCGGGUUGUAAACUCCUUUCGACCGCGAGGAAGCCACCUGGUUGGAAGGGUGGUGACGGUAGUGGUAGAAGAAGCACCGGCUAACUACGUG
This 494-nucleotide ribosomal RNA is filed under the name uncultured bacterium. RNAcentral's name for it is "partial 16S ribosomal RNA". It matches the Rfam family "Bacterial small subunit ribosomal RNA", at positions 28 to 507 of the family's 1533-position model. The record is from RNAcentral.